UACGUAGGGUGCAAGCGUUAAUCGGAAUUACUGGGCGUAAAGCGUGCGCAGGCGGUUAUGUAAGACAGAUGUGAAAUCCCCGGGCUUAACCUGGGAACUGCGCUUGUUACUGAUAGGCUUGAGUGUGGCAGGGGGGGGUGGAAUUCCACGUGUAGCAGUGAAAUGCGUAGAGAUGUGGAGGAACACCGAUGGCGAAGGCAGCCCCCUGGGCUAACACUGACGCUCAUGCACGAAAGCGUGGGGAGCAAACAGG
This 253-nucleotide ribosomal RNA is filed under the name uncultured bacterium. RNAcentral describes it as "partial 16S ribosomal RNA". It matches the Rfam family "Bacterial small subunit ribosomal RNA", at positions 524 to 776 of the family's 1533-position model. The record is from RNAcentral.